This 71-nucleotide transfer RNA is filed under the name Trichonephila inaurata madagascariensis. RNAcentral describes it as "tRNA-Cys". It matches the Rfam family "tRNA". Rfam says of the family: Transfer RNA (tRNA) molecules are approximately 80 nucleotides in length. Their secondary structure includes four short double-helical elements and three loops (D, anti-codon, and T loops). Further hydrogen bonds mediate the characteristic L-shaped molecular structure. tRNAs have two regions of fundamental functional importance: the anti-codon, which is responsible for specific mRNA codon recognition, and the 3' end, to which the tRNAs corresponding amino acid is attached (by aminoacyl-tRNA synthetases). tRNAs cope with the degeneracy of the genetic code in two manners: having more than one tRNA (with a specific anti-codon) for a particular amino acid; and 'wobble' base-pairing, i.e. permitting non-standard base-pairing at the 3rd anti-codon position. The record is from RNAcentral. Lineage: Eukaryota; Metazoa; Arthropoda; Arachnida; Araneae; Nephilidae.
GUGUAUAGCUCAGUGGCAGAGCAUUCGACUGCAGGUCGAGAGGUCCCCGGUUCAAAUCUGGGUUCAAAUCU